This is a long non-coding RNA of Balaenoptera acutorostrata (minke whale), 1494 nucleotides long. RefSeq lists it as uncharacterized. The record is from RefSeq and is a predicted model, not a curated record. The transcript has 3 exons. NCBI's taxonomy places the organism in Eukaryota, Metazoa, Chordata, Mammalia, Artiodactyla, Balaenopteridae.
CUCCAGCAGCUUUAUCUUCUGCUAUUUCUUUUUCAACCCUACUUCGAAGGUGCUUUCAGGAAUGUGCAAGGUCAGGAGUCCAGUUCGGCAGCGGCUCCCUCCCACCUUUAAAACCACUGUCUGGGAGGAGAGCUGCAGAAGGGUCCAGAAAAGAAGGAACAAGCGAAGGGGAGGACGCGGAAGAAGGGCGCAGGAGGUGGGGCAAGAAAGGGAGGCGAGCCCAGGAGGCCGAGAGGGUUUACAGGCUCCUGAUAGAGUGACUUCACCUUCAAGCAGCAGCACUGUGAGGGCUGUCUAGCCUUUGUAGCCAAUCUCGGUAACAGUUGGGCAAAUUAGAAGUCAUUGUGUAAGGAAAGUGAGCACGAAGAACAAAGGCUGUUGGAUUCUUCGCUACUUAACGAGAGAUCUUGUUUAGCUCCAGCCGUUAGGAAAACUCAUCACUUCCUAUAUUUGCUGGUGACAAUCAAAUGCAAGAAACCACAGCUUUAAAGAAAAAAAGUCUAAAUAAAUACUUUAGAGGAGAUGCGGAUCCUUUUACAUUUCCUCAGAUGAAAAUAUUGCAAAGUUGGUGAGAGGAUAUUUAUUUCAUUCAGGAAAUCCCAGUCAAAUCUUUCCUUUUAUUCAAAAAAUUGGAAUUUAAAUGAAAAACAUGCCUUCAUGUCACAGCGAUGUCCUACGUGGCCUACAUUUCAAAAUUAAUAGAUGAUAGACAUAAUUUUUUCUAUCUUGUUAAAAAACUAUGAUCAAAUCGUAAGUUUGUUUCUCUUCAAAUGUUGUGAUGUGGCAGGAAAAGAGGAGAAGAUUUGGUCAGGGAUUAAGGCUGAAAGAUUGAUGAAGUCCAGAUAGUUGCAACAUGAGACGGGAAGAGAGACAAGGUGACUGCGGAAAAAACCAUCUCGAGUUUCUGCAGGAAAAUGAUGAAGAGUGGAAGGAAGCCUAAUCUGCCUCAGAAAUGCAAAGGCAUCUCAAGUCUCCGCUAACUACAUUCCUGGGAUGAGAUGCAGAAGUAUCACAGCUCUCACUUCACCCCCCACCACAAACACUUGCACGACUGCUGCGGAAAUUUAAAGCUCUACGCGUAAGGACGUCAAUAUUUCAAUUUAGAAUUUUACACCUGAUUAAAGACACAGCCUCCCCUCCCUUUCAGUUUGUUCCAUGUACUGGUGGGUUUUGGUAAAUAUUUCUAUCUUCUGCAUAGGGUUAUGAAUAACUUAGAGGUCAGGGAAACCCUCUCCCCCCUUUUCCCACUUUUAAUUGUAUCUCCGGCAAGACUUACUUAUUGUGAGAGCUUAAUAAAUACCCUUAAUUAAAAUUUAAGAAAUGAAAUGUAUCCAGUUUACAAGGUGUUUGUUUACUGUACAAAAAUUAUAAACACAGGUUCACAACCAGUAGAAUGAUACUGAUCAUAGGGCCGACUAGGCAAAAGCAUACCUAGACAACUGAAAAACAUGUAAUGAAAUUUCAGAAAAAUAAAUACUACUUUUAAAAGAAAAA